Molecule: long non-coding RNA, 2321 nt
Filed under: Pavo cristatus (Indian peafowl)
Lineage: Eukaryota; Metazoa; Chordata; Aves; Galliformes; Phasianidae
Description: lncRNA (ENSPSTG00000001338.1)
Source: RNAcentral
CCGAGCUCCCGCUGCUGCCUCCCCCCUCCUGAGACCCGUGGGGUGACCGCAGCGGGCAGCGGCCGAGCCCCGGCCCCGGGCAGCACCGCCUGCGGGCCGGGGUCCGUCAGGGCGCAGGUGCCCUCCUGCCCGGCGCCCUCCUGCCGCCGAGCGCCCGACACGGCUGCCUCCCACCCCCGGAGCCCCCGGGGUGGCGGUUCGCGGGUGGGGGGACAUUUUUAUUUACCUCUCUCUCGCGAGAAAGCGGUGCGCGGGCGAUACUUGAAGAGGAGGGGGGGGGAGAGAGGAGGGGAAAAAGGAGGAGGAGGGAGGGAGGGGGCAGCUGGAGCCGCAGCUGGAGUAGCGGUGGGUGCAGCGGCCGCAGCUGGAACAGCAGCGGGAACGGCAGCCGGCGGCGGCGGCUCGAGCGGGUGCGCGCCCCUCGCAGCGGGCUCUCCCGGGGCGGGCGGGCUGGGCGCGGGGCUCCGUACCCACGGGGCUCCCUAUCCCGGCCGGGCACCGCACUCCCGGCUCGCCGCGGUGCCCGGCGGGCGCUUCCACCCCGGAGAGGCUCCGAGAGCGACGGCGGCGGCCGCGGGCGGUCCGCGGCGGGUGCGGGAGCCCCGCGACUGCCGUCCGUCGAGGGAGGGCGGAGGGAGCGCGGCCGCGAGCGGCCCCUCGCCAUCCCCCGCGUCCGCCGCCUCCCGCGGGCGGGUAGCGCCGGGCUGGCCUGGGGCCGGCGGGGGCGGGGGGCUCGGGGCGGCCGUGCCCGCUCCCCCCCUGACGUCCCUUCGUCCCUUUUCUCCCCGCAGCUCGCUUCGGGGGAGCUCGGCGGAGGCGGCGCGGCGGAGACCGGCGGACUUCGGCGGCGGAGAGGAGGAGGCGGCGGCCGCUCGGAGCCCGGGGGCUCGGGGGACGCGAUGUGGCGGGGGCGGCUGCUGGGGAUCGCCCUGGGAGUUGCCGUGCUGUGGGCGUCCCAGGCGGGCGCCGCCGCCGCCGCCGGGCACUCCGAGGGGGCGAGCGCCAAGGAGCUGCGGGCCAGCCGGGCCAAGAGGAGAGGGCAGGGCGGCGGCGGGCACGACGCGCUCAAAGGGAUUUCGGACCUACAGAACCAGCCUCACUCAUGCUAAGGUUGAUGUGUAGAUAGAGACACAAGAAGAAGCAAUUUCUUUUUGUUAUGGCAGCUCUUUAAAGUUUGGGCUUUUCUCUGGAAGGUACACUGGAAGGCAAAAUGGAGCUAUUAAAUUAAAACCUGUGCCUUCUGCUUUUGCAUAUACAUAUUCACUGAAGUAUGAAGGAGUUCCAGCUUUUAUCUGGAAGAAUAUUUUGAAUGUUGACUUGCUGGAGAAUCUUUUGUUUUCCUUUUUACUUUUCAUUUUAUGAAAUGAUUCAUGACCAUUAAAGCCUCAAAAAUACCGAAUGAAAGCCGCAGUUCUUUUGUCUACAGCCUUAAUCAUUUUCAUCCUCUUCUUCAAGCUUCCCUCUUUCUCAUGUUUUGCUGGAGGACAUCAGAAUAUCCAGUGAUGUUCAGCUGAGGUUUCAAAAUAGAAUUUGUUUCCUUUCAGGAACGUUAUUUUUCUGCCUCUUUUCUCUUUCUUUGUUUUUCCCUCUGAUGUUCCAUCUUUUCCUCUUCCCUGUAUACAAAGUAAACUACCAGUGACUGCUGGGGACAAGGUGAAUUAAAACUUGGGGAUCAGCGUCAGCAGGGUUUUCCCAUUGCACAAUAGCAGAUAUACAGUUGACUGACCUUUCAAAACCACAGCAUUGCUAUCCCAGCUUGGAGAGAGUCAGAGGGUAUGAGACAGUGUGUGUGUGGUGGAGGGAGGAGGAGGAACGCUUCUGUCUUAGCAAAAAUAAAUCUUCCAGUAGCCUACCAGAGAGCAUUUUAAAAUAUGAGUUAGAGGAGUUGCUUAACACCCGAGGGCAUUUGCUGACAAGCAUUGAUACAGCUGUCAGGUUUAUGAGACUCUCUCUGUGAGCACUCGGAUGUGCUCUGAGGAGGGAUGGCGUAGCACCAGCCCAUCGCAGCCACCCACAUGCCAAACACGGUUCCUGUGCUGCUGCCCCAUCAGUGCAUGGCGCGGGCUGGCAAGUCCUGUGCUAGCAGAUACCCUGCUAGCACACAUUGUUAGAGGUCCACCUGCAUUGAUAUUAGCAGUUACAGAGCGAGUGCUGGAAGUGGUGCAGGAGCUGCAACCUCAUCUCUUCCUGCAGCCCCAAUGAGAGUGACAUCUGGAGGGCUGAGCACUGCACUAGAGCCACAGCUACUGCGUCCUCCUGUGGGGUGCUAUGCAGGGACACCAGGGUAGAAAGGCUCCAAUUUCUUUUCCUCUGAAUGCGCU